UGGCUCACCAAUGCGAAGAUGCGCAGGGGGCCUUAGCGGGUGACCCCCACCACCGGAACUGAGACACUGUCCGGACACCUACGGGUGGCUGCAGUCGAGAAUCUUCCGCAAUGGACGAAAGUCUGACGGAGCGACGCCGCGUGAGGGAUGAAGGCCUUCGGGUUGUAAACCUCUGUCAAGUGUUAUGAAUAAUCGAGUGGAAAUACUGCUCGAGAUGACAAAGGCACUGGAGGAAGCCACGGCUAAAUAUGUGCCAGCAGCCGCGGUAAUACAUAUGUGGCAAGCGUUGUUCGGAAUUACUGGGCAUAAAGGGUUCGUAGGUGGUUUUGUCCGUCGGGUGUGAAAUCCCUCGGCUCAACCGAGGAAUUGCACUCGAUACAGCAGAACUAGAGUCACUGAGGGGGAAGCGGAAUUCCAGGUGUAGCGGUGAAAUGCGUAGAUACCUGGGAGAAGGCCAACGGCGAAAGCAGCUUCCUGGCAGAUGACUGACACUGAGGAACGAAAGCCAGGGGAGCGAACGGGAUUAGAUACCCCGGUAGUCCUGGCUGUAAACGGUGAGCACUUGAUGAUGGGGGAGCUGAACCCUCGUUGUCGAAGCUAAUGCGCUAAGUGCUCCGCCUGGGUAGUACGAUCGCAAGGUUGAAACUCAAAGGAAUUGACGGGGGCUCACACAAGCGGUGGAGCAUGUUGCUCAAUUCGAAGCAACGCGAAGAACCUUACCUGGGCUUGAACUGCAGGGAUUAGCUGUCUGAAAGGUCAGUGACGCCAACUCGGUGGAACCUGUAGAGGUGUUGCAUGGCUGUCGUCAGCUCGUGCUGUGAGGUGUUAGGUUAAGUCCUUUAACGAGCGGAACCCUUGCCCUUAUUUACCAGCGGGUUAUGCCGGGGACUAUAAGGGGACUGCCGGUGUCAAACCGGAGGAAGGUGGGGACGACGUCAAGUCAUCAUGGCCCUUAUGUCCAGGGCUGCAAACGUGCUACAAUGGCGGUCACAGAGUGUCGCAAAGUCGCGAGGCGGAGCUAAUCACGAAAAGCCGCCCCAGUUCGGAUUGCAGGCUGCAACCCGCCUGCAUGAAGCCGGAAUCGCUAGUAAUCGCGGGUCAGCAAUACCGCGGUGAAUACGUUCCUGAGCCUUGUACACACCGCCCGUCAAGCCACGAAAGCUGGGGGGACCCGAAGUCGUUGAUGCUAACCGUAAGGAGGCAGGCGCCCACGGUCAAACCAGUGAUUGGGACUAAGUCGUAACAAGGUA
Molecule: ribosomal RNA, 1250 nt
Filed under: metagenome
Description: bacterial SSU rRNA
Rfam family: Bacterial small subunit ribosomal RNA
Source: RNAcentral